This 484-nucleotide ribosomal RNA is filed under the name uncultured bacterium. RNAcentral's name for it is "partial 16S ribosomal RNA". It matches the Rfam family "Bacterial small subunit ribosomal RNA", at positions 30 to 507 of the family's 1533-position model. The record is from RNAcentral.
AUUGAACGCUGGCGGCAGGCCUAACACAUGCAAGUCGAGCGGAUGAAGGGAGCUUGCUCCUGGAUUCAGCGGCGGACGGGUGAGUAAUGCCUAGGAAUCUGCCUGGUAGUGGGGGAUAACGUCCGGAAACGGGCGCUAAUACCGCAUACGUCCUGAGGGAGAAAGUGGGGGAUCCUCGGACCUCACGCUAUCAGAUGAGCCUAGGUCGGAUUAGCUAGUUGGUGGGGUAAAGGCCUACCAAGGCGACGAUCCGUAACUGGUCUGAGAGGAUGAUCAGUCACACUGGAACUGAGACACGGUCCAGACUCCUACGGGAGGCGGCAGUGGGGAAUAUUGGACAAUGGGCGAAAGCCUGAUCCAGCCAUGCCGCGUGUGUGAAGAAGGUCUUCGGAUUGUAAAGCACUUUAAGUUGGGAGGAAGGGCAGUAAGUUAAUACCUUGCUGUUUUGACGUUACCAACAGAAUAAGCACCGGCUAACUUCGUG